Molecule: ribosomal RNA, 27 nt
Filed under: Medicago popovii
Lineage: Eukaryota; Viridiplantae; Streptophyta; Magnoliopsida; Fabales; Fabaceae
Description: partial large subunit ribosomal RNA
Source: RNAcentral
GAGACCUCAGGUCAGGCGGGACUACCC